This 301-nucleotide ribosomal RNA is filed under the name uncultured bacterium. RNAcentral describes it as "partial 16S ribosomal RNA". It matches the Rfam family "Bacterial small subunit ribosomal RNA", at positions 512 to 810 of the family's 1533-position model. The record is from RNAcentral.
CAGGCCGCGGUAAUACGUAGGUCCCGAGCGUUGUCCGGAUUUAUUGGGCGUAAAGCGAGCGCAGGUGGUUAGAUAAGUCUGAAGUUAAAGGCUGUGGCUUAACCAUAGUACGCUUUGGAAACUGUUUAACUUGAGUGCAAGAGGGGAGAGUGGAAUUCCAUGUGUAGCGGUGAAAUGCGUAGAUAUAUGGAGGAACACCGGUGGCGAAAGCGGCUCUCUGGCUUGUAACUGACGCUGAGGCUCGAAAGCGUGGGGCGCAAACAGGAUUAGAUACCCCAGUAGUCCCUGUCUCUUAUACACA